This 617-nucleotide ribosomal RNA is filed under the name uncultured Photobacterium sp. RNAcentral's name for it is "bacterial SSU rRNA". It matches the Rfam family "Bacterial small subunit ribosomal RNA", at positions 56 to 652 of the family's 1533-position model. Lineage: Bacteria; Pseudomonadati; Pseudomonadota; Gammaproteobacteria; Vibrionales; Vibrionaceae. The record is from RNAcentral.
UGCAAGUCGAGCGGCAGCGACUUAACUGAACCUUUGGGGAACGUUAAGGGCGGCGAGCGGCGGACGGGUGAGUAAUGCCUGGGAAUAUGCCCUGAUGUGGGGGAUAACUAUUGGAAACGAUAGCUAAUACCGCAUAAUCUCUUCGGAGCAAAGAGGGGGACCUUCGGGCCUCUCGCGUCAGGAUUAGCCCAGGUGGGAUUAGCUUGUUGGUGAGGUAAUGGCUCACCAAGGCAACGAUCCCUAGCUGGUCUGAGAGGAUGAUCAGCCACACUGGAACUGAGACACGGUCCAGACUCCUACGGGAGGCAGCAGUGGGGAAUAUUGCACAAUGGGGGAAACCCUGAUGCAGCCAUGCCGCGUGUGUGAAGAAGGCCUUCGGGUUGUAAAGCACUUUCAGUAGGGAGGAAGGUAGUGUAGUUAACACCUGCAUUAUUUGACGUUACCUACAGAAGAAGCACCGGCUAACUCCGUGCCAGCAGCCGCGGUAAUACGGAGGGUGCGAGCGUUAAUCGGAAUUACUGGGCGUAAAGCGCAUGCAGGCGGCCUGUUAAGUCAGAUGUGAAAGCCCGGGGCUUAACCUCGGAAUUGCAUUUGAAACUGGCAGGCUAGAGUCCCUG